RNAcentral lists this ribosomal RNA (469 nucleotides) under uncultured bacterium. RNAcentral's name for it is "partial 16S ribosomal RNA". It matches the Rfam family "Bacterial small subunit ribosomal RNA", at positions 28 to 508 of the family's 1533-position model. The record is from RNAcentral.
GACGAACGCUGGCGGCGUGCUUAACACAUGCAAGUCGAACGGAAAGGCUCCAGCUUGCUGGAGUACUCGAGUGGCGAACGGGUGAGUAACACGUGGGUGAUCUGCCCUGCACUUCGGGAUAAGCCUGGGAAACUGGGUCUAAUACCGGAUAGGACCGCACUUUGGUGUGUGUGGUGGAAAGGUUUUUCUGGUGUGGGAUGAGCUCGCGGCCUAUCAGUUUGUUGGUGGGGUAAUGGCCUACCAAGACGGCGACGGGUAGCCGGCCUGAGAGGGUGGACGGUCACAUUGGGACUGAGAUACGGCCCAGACUCCUACGGGGGGCAGCAGUGGGGAAUAUUGCACAAUGGGGGAAACCCUGAUGCAGCGACGCCGCGUGGGGGAUGAAGGCCUUCGGGUUGUAAACUCCUUUCGCUAGGGACGAAGCUUUUUGUGACGGUACCUGGAGAAGAAGCACCGGCUAACUACGUGC